GUUGUAGUCUGGAGAAGCGUCUUCCGCGUUGGACCGUGUACAAGUCUCUUGGAACAGAGCGUCAUAGAGGGUGAGAAUCCCGUCUUUGACACGGACUACCAAUGCUUUGUGAUGCGCUCUCAAAGAGUCGCGUUGUUUGGGAAUGCAGCGCAAAAUGGGAGGUGAAUUCCUUCUAAAGCUAAAUAUUGGCGAGAGACCGAUAGCGAACAAGUACCGUGAGGGAAAGAUGAAAAGCACUUUGGAAAGAGAGUUAAACAGUACGUGAAAUUGCUAAAAGGGAAACGCUUGAAGUCAGUCGCAUCGUCCGGAACUCAGCCUUGCUUCGGCUUGGUGCAUUUUCCGGUUGAUGGGCCAGCAUCGAUUUUGACCGCUGGAAAAGGGCUGGAGGAAUGUGGCACCCUCGGGUGUGUUAUAGCCUUCAGUCGCAUACAGCGGUUGGGAUCGAGGAACGCAGCGCGCCUUAUGGCUGGGGUUCGCCCACAUUCGCGCUUAGGAUGCUGGCAUAAUGGCUUUAAACGACCCGUCUUGAAACACGGACCAAGGAGUCUAACAUGCCUGCGAGUGUUUGGGUGGAAAACCCGAGCGCGUAAUGAAAGUGAAAGUUGAGACCUCUGUCGUGGAGGGCAUCGACGCCCGGACCUGACGUUUUCUGAAGGAUCCGCGGUAGAGCAUGUAUGUUGGGACCCGAAAGAUGGUGAACUAUGCCUGAAUAGGGUGAAGCCAGAGGAAACUCUGGUG
This 738-nucleotide ribosomal RNA is filed under the name Trametes suaveolens. RNAcentral describes it as "partial 28S ribosomal RNA". It matches the Rfam family "Eukaryotic large subunit ribosomal RNA", at positions 142 to 869 of the family's 3401-position model. The record is from RNAcentral. Lineage: Eukaryota; Fungi; Basidiomycota; Agaricomycetes; Polyporales; Polyporaceae.